This 71-nucleotide transfer RNA is filed under the name Rickettsiales bacterium. Its description in RNAcentral is "tRNA-Cys". It matches the Rfam family "tRNA". Rfam says of the family: Transfer RNA (tRNA) molecules are approximately 80 nucleotides in length. The record is from RNAcentral. Lineage: Bacteria; Pseudomonadati; Pseudomonadota; Alphaproteobacteria; Rickettsiales.
GGUUGGAUAGCAUAGUGGCAAUGUAGAAGAUUGCAAAUCUUUAGAGGGCAGUUCGAUUCUGCCUCCAACCU